RNAcentral lists this small nucleolar RNA (50 nucleotides) under Pyrobaculum neutrophilum V24Sta. RNAcentral's name for it is "PNEsR50". Lineage: Archaea; Thermoproteati; Thermoproteota; Thermoprotei; Thermoproteales; Thermoproteaceae. The record is from RNAcentral.
GUGAUGAGCCAACCCCGGCACCGAGGCGUGAGGUAGUACUCGAAUGCUGA